This 66-nucleotide transfer RNA is filed under the name Glaphyrina caudata. RNAcentral describes it as "tRNA-Met". The record is from RNAcentral. Lineage: Eukaryota; Metazoa; Mollusca; Gastropoda; Neogastropoda; Fasciolariidae.
UUGUAAAAGAACUUAUGCUCAUUUUUGGGGUAUGAACCCAAUAGCUUACUAUUAGCUUAUUUUACA